UACGUAGGUGGCGAGCGUUGUCCGGAUUUACUGGGCGUAAAGAGCGCGCAGGCGGUCGUACAAGUCGCGUGUGAAAGCCCCUGGCUCAACUGGGGAGGGUCACGCGAUACUGUUCGACUUGAAGGCAGGAGAGGGCAGCAGAAUUCCCGGUGUAGUGGUGAAAUGCGUAGAUAUCGGGAGGAAUACCAGUGGCGAAGGCGGCUGCCUGGCCUGUUCUUGACGCUGAGGCGCGAAAGCUGGGGGAGCAAACGGG
This 253-nucleotide ribosomal RNA is filed under the name uncultured bacterium. RNAcentral's name for it is "partial 16S ribosomal RNA". It matches the Rfam family "Bacterial small subunit ribosomal RNA", at positions 524 to 776 of the family's 1533-position model. The record is from RNAcentral.